CGAGGGGCCACGCUGCCCAGGGGGCAGGCACUGCUCACACAGCGCUCCCGCAGACAAAGGGGACGGGGCCGAUUCUGCCACAAAGCACUAGGAGACAAAAGGGCGAUGGGAUCAGAGAGGAACGCGAAAGAAAGGGGGCUUUUUUCAAGAUCACAGAACAGAAUGCUGUUUCACAUCAGGAUCGCUGCUUCAUCAAUACAGAUGUAAAUCACAGCCAAGCCAGCAGGAAAGGAAGGAGCCCGGAGAUAGAGUGCAGCCCCUCCCAAGCGCCUUUCUGUCUGGGAGGAACUCGAGAUCCAAACAUCGAGCGUUCCAGUCUGGCACACCGAAUGACACAGAGCUAUCAGCUGUGGUACAAGUGAAAUGCUUUGGUGAAUCACUUGGACGGUGCCCGAGGCUGCUAAUAGUUCGGUCACAUCCUAUUGUUACAUUAGCAGCCCUGGAAACAAAACAGCCUGAAACCUCUCCAGGAUAAAAAAAAAACGUAAUAAAUUAAUUCGGUGCAGAUCUCCUAAAAGCAA
Molecule: long non-coding RNA, 521 nt
Organism: Oxyura jamaicensis (ruddy duck)
Lineage: Eukaryota; Metazoa; Chordata; Aves; Anseriformes; Anatidae
Exons: 3
Source: RefSeq, a predicted model, not a curated record